RNAcentral lists this long non-coding RNA (433 nucleotides) under Hordeum vulgare. RNAcentral describes it as "long non-coding RNA (HVUL_LNC000035)". The record is from RNAcentral. Lineage: Eukaryota; Viridiplantae; Streptophyta; Magnoliopsida; Poales; Poaceae.
ACACAUUUUCACUUGCACAUCAGGUAAAAUGCCACCAUUGAAUCGGAAUUCCAUUUGAGCAUUUUCAAUUCGAGCUUCGAUCAUUUGAGUAUGAUAACAGACUAGUAAAUCAGAAACUGUGGGAGGGAGAGGAGUGAUGUACCUCUUGAUAUUAUUGGAAUAUGAGAGGAAUCGAAGCUCGGCUAGCUGCUGCUUGCUGCCGUUGGGAUUGGGGGGACUGCUGCUGCGGUGACUGCUCCCUGCCGGCUGCGGUUGCUUCUGCUGCUGGGUUUGGGUGACCGGCGCAUGCUUGCUGCCGUUGGGAGCGGACGGGGCGGCAGAAGUGGUGGGCGGCGGCCGGCGUCAUCGUCGGCGGCGGUGGGCGGAGAAGCGUGGAGGCGGCUGGGAAUGGAUAGCAUCCGUGUGCACGGCCCAUAGUGGGCCCUGCGUGAAG